RNAcentral lists this long non-coding RNA (7026 nucleotides) under Cucumis sativus (cucumber). Its description in RNAcentral is "long non-coding RNA (CSAT_LNC003040)". Lineage: Eukaryota; Viridiplantae; Streptophyta; Magnoliopsida; Cucurbitales; Cucurbitaceae. The record is from RNAcentral.
CCAGAUCUGCGGCGCCGUUGCUCUUCCGUCGCUGCAACCGUCGGCCGCCAUCUCUGUUCGCGAAGCAAGGCCGCCGCGUGAACCUGUAACCGCCGGCUGUCUCCUCCUCUCCUUUCUCCUCUGUUUUCAGCCCAGCCGCCGCCGAUUCCUUCUCCUCCGUCGUCUGCACUGCCGCGCGACUCUCCGGCCAUUUGUAUACGGUCUCUCCGUCGCACGUCAUCUCUUCGCAAAGCCACUGCUCGAUUUCUUUCGUGAAGAUUUGGGUAAGUUGCAAAAAGAUUCACAUUGGGUUGAAUUUAAAUGACUGAUGCGUUGAAGGGAAUUAUUGAGAAAUUGUCUUAAUGUUUAGGUUCGUUCUUCAUAGACUUCAACGUGGUUAAGGAGCUUAACAAAUUUGAAGGUAAGGGAUUUUCUACUGGACUCACUUAUGAUUGUGAAUUGCAUGUCUGAAUGAUUAUCUUUGACUGAGUAAAGAUGUUGAGAUGAUACUUAUGUUUAUACACGUAUGGGUGUAGAUUCGGUGCUGAAUGUACACUGUGGAUUGACUGAAAAUAUAUAUACAUAUGCAUAGGAAUUGAAGUAGACUUAAUGUGGAAUGCAUAUUGUGAUUGUCAUGGAAUAUAUAUAUAUGUGUGUGGAUGUGGACAGGACGAAAAUUGUAGAUUAUGCUUGUAUGAGAUGCAGAUGCGAUCUUGUGAUUGUCGUUUAGAUUGGGUGUCGUUACGCUAAAGUAUGACUGUGUGCUGGUGAUCUGAGGGGUGUAUUGACUGUAUAGUUUGAUUGACUGAUGUAUUAGUAUGUUAUUGACAGACAUAUGACCUAAGUGAGAUAAGUUGACUGUUAGGACGUUGAGAGAAAGAACUCUAUGUUUUGAAGUAUCUGAAGGAUGGGUUGAAUGGAAUGAGGGGAUAAAUUGUUAGGUUGUAUUGGGAUGAUUACCUUGUAGGUGUCCCACGGGAUCACCAAUUUAUUUUUGCACCUUCGGGAGCAUUUGACUGAUAUGUGUUCUGCAGAACACUAGACUGAUAUGUACGUCCCUCGGGGCGUUAGACUGAUAUGUACGUCCUUCGGGGCGUUAGACUGAAAUGUGUAUCCUACGGGAUCACAAGACUGCGACUGUACAGGGUGUCCCAAUAGAACUUUAACAAUUUAUUUUCCCCUGACGAGACCAGUAGAGGGUCUCUUACUGAGUAUUUAAAAUACUCACCCUUCUUAUGUUUAAUUUUCAGGCAAAGGUAAUAAAGGCGGCAAACCGGCGAGGGGCAGGAAGGAAGCGUGAUGCCAUAGGAAACGUGUAAUUGCUUCCGCUUAAUUAAGAUUGAUUUGAAAUUUAGUUUACAAACGUUUGUUGCAAACAGUAUUAGUUUAUGUUUUCUUGAAUGUUUAAAAAUCAGGCCUGACUUGAAGAUGUUUUUUUUUUUUAAAUUGCUUACGUUUUUUUUUUAUUUUAAUCAGAGUCUUUUAUUUGUUAAAAACUAACGAUCUCGACUUACUUAGAAAAGUUGGGUCGUUACAGUUGGUAUCAGAGCCUAAGUUUUAGGUUCUGUAGACUGACUUACGAUGUAAGUCUAUGUUUUUGUGUUCCUAUGGCAAACGCGACCCUUCGUCUCUCGUCAGGUAUGCUUUAUGCUUAUAUGUAUGGUUUAUUUGCAUGACCUUGCCUAAAUUAAACUAGAUUGCAUGACGAUAAAGACUUGCUUAUGUUUAUGAUUAAGAUUUUGUUAAAGAGUGUUGUUGGUGGGUAAUAGGAAUUAUGCCGCCAAGGGAAGAAGUACGUAGAGGAGGUCGUAGAGGCCGAGGUAGAGGAGUAGUAGGGCCGAGGUAGAGGAGCAGGUCGUAAUCAGCCUACUGAGGGUCAAGCUGAACAGCAAAUUCCUGCUGCACCCGUGACUCACGUUGAGUUUGAUGCACUGUCUGCUCACAUGGAGCAGAGGUUUACAGAACUUAUGACAGCUAUAGCUCAAAACCAGCAGGCACCUGCAGUCCCACCUGCACCUGUAGUUCCCCCUGCACCAGCAGCCCCUCCUGCACAAGAAUUACCUAACCAACUUUCUGCUGAGGCGAAACAUUUGAGGGACUUUCGGAAGUAUGACCCUCAGACGUUUGAUGGGUCACUGGAGGAUCCUACUAAAGCUGAAAUGUGGUUGUCCUAUGUGGAAACCAUAUUUAAUUACAUGAGAUGUCCUGAGGAGCACAGAGUUCAGUGUGCUGCUUUUCUACUGAGGGACAGAGGCAUUAUCUGGUGGAGGACUACAAUGCGCAUGCUAGGUGGAGAUGUGAGGCAGAUUACCUGGGAUCAGUUUAAGGACUGCUUCUAUACCAAGUUUUUCUCGGCUAACCUUAGAGACGCCAAAAGCCAGGAAUUCUUGGAGUUGAAGCAAGGAUAUAUGACAGUCGAGGAGUACGACCAGGAGUUUGAUAUGCUGUCACGUUUUGCCCCUGAGCUUGUUAGUAAUGAGCAGGCUAGAGCUGAUAGGUUCGUCAAGGGAUUGAGAGAUGAAAUUAGGGGUUUUGUGCGAGCACUAAAGCCCACUACCCAAGCUGAAGCACUGCGUCUGGCAGUGGAUAUGAGUAUUGGGAAGGAUGAAAGACAGCCAAGGAGCUUUAAUAAGGGAUCGUCGUCGGGUCAAAAGAGAAAAGUAGAGCAGAUAACUGUAGGAGUUCCUCAGAGGAACAUGAGACCAGGUGAUUCUUUUCGCAGUUUCCAGCAGAAUUCUGGCGCGUGCAGGAGACACUACUCAAGAGAGGCCAGUAUGUGAUACGUGUGGGAAACGCCACCUGGGUCGUUGUUUGAUGGGAACGAGAGUCUGUUAUAAGUGCAAGCAAGAGGGACACAUGGCUGAUAGGUGUCCCUUGAGAUCUACUGGGGCUGGAUCGAGCAGUCAGGGAGAGAGACCUCCACAGCGGGGUACAAUCUUUGCCACUAAUAGAUCAGAGGCAGAGAAGGCCGGCACAGUAGUGACAGGUACGUUACCAGUAUUGGGGCAUUUUGCCUUGACCUUGUUUGACUCGGGAUCUUCUCAUUCAUUUAUUUCAUCGCUUUUUGUGACGCAUGCAUGCUUAGAAGUGGAACCCUUAGACUAUGUUUUGUCAGUGUCUACACCGUCUGGAGAAAUUAUGUUGUCUAAGGAAAAGAUUAAAGCAUGUGAAAUUGAAAUAGCUGGUCGUGUGUACUGGACGUAACCUUGUUGGUAUUAGAUAUGCGUGACUUUGAUGUAAUUUUAGGUAUGGAUUGGCUAGCUACUAAUGAUGCUAGUAUUGAUUGUUCUCGUAAGGAAGUUGUGUUUAGUCCCCCUACUGCAUCUAGCUUUAAAUUCAAGGGAGUAGGAACAGUAGUACUGCCUAAAGUAAUCUCAGCUAUGAAAGCUAGUAAACUACUCAACCAGGGUACUUGGAGUAUUUUGGCAAGUGUGGUGGAUACUAGGGAAGGUGAGACUUCUUUAACUUCAGAACCUGUGGUAAGAGACUACCCAGAUGUAUUUCCAAAAGAUCUUCCAGGACUACCGCCACAUAGAGAGGUUGAUUUUGCCAUUGAGUUGGAGCCAAACACUACUCCUAUUUCUAGAGCCCCUUAUAGGAUGGCUCCUGCUGAGUUGAAAGAACUGAAGGUACAGUUACAGGAAUUGCUUGACAAAGGCUUUAUUCGACCUAGUGUGUCACCUUGGGGUGCACCAGUAUUGUUUGUGAAGAAGAAGGAUGGGUCGAUGCGUCUUUGCAUUGACUAUAGAGAGUUGAAUAAAGUAACAGUCAAGAACAGGUAUCCUUUACCCAGAAUCGAUGAUUUUGUUCGAUCAGUUACAGGGAGCCACGGUGUUCUCUAAGAUUGACUUACGGUCAGGUUAUCACCAGUUGAGGAUUAGAGACCGUGAUAUUCCUAAGACUGCCUUUCGUUCGAGGUAUGGACAUUAUGAAUUCAUAGUGAUGUCUUUUGGUUUGACUAAUGCACCUGCUGUAUUUAUGGAUUUGAUGAACAGGGUGUUUAAGGAUUUCUUGGACACUUUUGUGAUAGUCUUCAUUGAUGAUUAUCUUGGUUUAUUCCAAGACUGAAGUCGAACAUGAGGAACAUUUUACAUAAGGUAUUAGAGACUCUUCGAGCCAAUAAACUGUAUGCUAAGUUCUCGAAGUGCGAAUUUUGGUUGAAGCAAGUGACUUUUCUUGGUCAUGUGGUUUCCAGUGAGGGAGUUUCAGUAGACCCUGCAAAGAUAGAAGCUGUUACCAGUUGGUCUCGACCCUCCACAGUUGGUGAGGUUCGUAGUUUUCUGGUGUUUAGCAGGGUACUACCGGAGGUUUGUGGAGGAUUUUUCAACGUUUGGCUACUCCUUUGACUCAGUUGACAAGGAAGGGAACUCCGUUUGUUUGGAGUCCAGCUUGUGAGGAUAGUUUUCAGAACCUUAAGCAAAGGUUAGUUACUGCACCGGUCCUUACUGUACCAGAUGGAUCAUUGGAAGUUUUGUGAUUUACAGUGAUGCUUCCAAGAAAGGACUGGGUUGUGUUUUGAUGCAGAAAGGUAAGGUGGUUGCUUAUGCCUCUCGUCAGUUGAAGAGUCACGAAGCAGAACUACCCCACACAUGAUUUGGAGUUGGCAGCAGUGGUUUUUUGCAUUGAAGAUAUGGAGACAUUACUUUGUACGGUGAAAAGAUACAAAUCUUUACUGACCAUAAGAGCCUAAAGUACUUCUUCACUCAGAAGGAGUUGAAUAUGAGACAGCCGAAGGUGGCUCGAGUUGGUAAAAGAUUAUGACUGUGAGAUAUUAUACCAUCCUGGUAAGGCGAAUGUGGUGGCUGAUGCUCUUAGUAGAAAAGCAUCACAUUCGUGCAGCACUCAUUACUAGACAGGUACCAUUGCAUCGAGACUUGGAGAGAGCUGAGAUUGCAGUGUCUGUGGGGAGAGAGUCACCUCACAGCUAGCUCAAUUAACGGUGCAACCGACUCUGAGGCAGCAAGAUUGUUGAUGGCUCAGAGUAAUGAUCCUUAUUUGAUGGGAGAGACGUAGCCUUGUUGAAACAGGGCAGACUGAUGAGUUCUCCAUAUCCUCUGAUGGUGGGUUUGAUGUUUGAGAGACGUUUAUGUGUGCCAGCGAACAGUACAGUUAAGAUUGACUUACUAGAUGAAGCCCAUAAUUCCCCAUUUUCCAUGCAUCCUGGUAGCACGAAAAUGUAUCAGGAUCUAAAACGAUUUUAUUGGUGGCGGAAUAUGAAGAGAGAAGUGGCGGAAUUUGUUAGUAAGUGUCUAGUAUGUCAGCAAGUUAAGGCACCUAGACAGAAACCAGCAGGUUUACUACAACCUUUAAGUGUGCCAGAGUGGAAGUGGGAGAAUGUGUCGAUGGAUUUUAUUUCAGGGCUGCCUAAGACCCUGAAGGGUUUCACAGUGAUUCUGGUUGUCAUAGACAGGCUUACAAAAUCGGCACAUUUUGUACCAGGAAAAUCCACUUAUACUGCUAGUAAGUGGGCAGAGUUGUAUUUAACUGAGAUUGUGAGACUGCAUGGAGUGCCUGUAUCGAUUGUUUCUGAUAGGGAUGCACGGUUUACUUCCAAGUUUUGGAAGGGACUUCAGACUGCUAUGGGUACGAGAUUGGAUUUCAGUACAGCCUUUCAUCCACAGACUGAUGGUCAAACUGAACGUUUGAACCAAGUUUUAGAGGAUAUGCUACGAGCUUGUGUUAUAGAGUUUCCAGGUAGUAUGGACUCUCAUCUACAUUUGAUGGAGUUUGCUUAUAACAACAGUUUCCAGGCUACCAUCGGUAUGGCACCAUUUGAGGCUUUAUAUGGCAAAUGUUGUAGAACCCCUGUUCGUUGGAGUGAGGUUGGUGAACAUAGAUUGAUGGGACCUGAAUUAGUUCGGUCUACUAAUGAGGCUAUUCAAAAGAUUAGAGCACGUAUGCAAACAGCGCAGAGUAGACAGAAGAGUUAUGCGGAUGUACGACGAAAAGACCUUAAGUUCGAUGUGGGAGAAAAGGUAUUCUUGAAGGUAGCACCUAUGAAGGGUGUUAUGCGUUUUGAGAAGAAAGGAAAGUUAAGUCCUCGUUUUGUUGGACCAUUUGAGAUCUUAGAGAGGGUUGGUGUUGUGGCGUAUCGCUUGGCAUUACCACCAUCUCUCUCUGCAGCUCAUAAUUUUUUCAUGUUUCGAUGUUGAGGAAGUAUGUGGCCGAUACGUCUCAUGUAGUGGACUAUGAACCCUUGGAGAUUGAUGAGCAUUUGAGCUAUGUAGAACAACCUGUGGAGAUUCUGGCUAGAGAGGUAAAGAUGCUUCGUAAUAGAAGCAUUCCAUUAGUAAAGGUUUUGUGGCGGAAUCAUCGAAUUGAAGAGGCGACAUGGGAGCGAGAGGAAGAGAUGAGGACUCAUUAUCCAGAGUUAUUUCAGGAGUAAAACUUUCGAGGACGAAAGUUUCUUAAGGAGGGAAGAAUGUAAUGCCCCAAAGGUAUGUAUAUAUAUAUAUUUUGUUUUUAAUUUUAUAUAUAUAUAUAUAUAUAUUUAUACUUAAUUUAAAUAAAAAGAAAAGAAAAGAAAAGAAUAUAUUUUUCCUUCCUUCUUCCUCUCGCACGAGCGUCGCACACAACCCCUCUCUCAUUUUCUUUUCUUCUUCCCGUCCCGCCGCAGCCAACCGCAGCCCAGCCGCAACCACACCUCUAUCUUCUUCUUCCCGUCCCGCCGCAGCCAACCGCAGCCCAGCCGCAACCACACCUCUAUCUUCUUCUUUCCCGUCCCGCAGCUAGCCGCCGAUCCUUUCUUUCCAUUUUCUUCUUCCGUCCGCAGCCCCACCGCGAAGCAAGACUGCGCCGCUGCCAGUCCAGAUCUGCGGCGCCGUUGCUCUUCCGUCGCUGCAACCGUCGGCCGCCAUCUCUGUUCGCGAAGCAAGGCCGCCGCGUGAACCUGUAACCGCCGGCUGUCUCCCCUCUCCUUUCUCCUCUGUUUUCAGCCCAGCCGCCGCCGAUUCCUUCUCCUCCGUCGUCUGCACUGCCGCGCGACUCUCCGGCCAUUUGUAUACGGUCUCUCCGUCGCACGUCAUCUCUUCGCAAAGCCACUGCUCG